UGGGGAAUAUUGGACAAUGGGCGAAAGCCUGAUCCAGCCAUGCCGCGUGUGUGAAGAAGGUCUUCGGAUUGUAAAGCACUUUAAGUUGGGAGGAAGGGCAUUAACCUAAUACGUUAGUGUUUUGACGUUACCGACAUAAUAAGCACCGGCUAACUCUGUGCCAGCAGCCGCGGUAAUACAGAGGGUGCAAGCGUUAAUCGGAAUUACUGGGCGUAAAGCGCGCGUAGGUGGUUUGUUAAGUUGGAUGUGAAAUCCCCGGGCUCAACCUGGGAACUGCAUUCAAAACUGACUGACUAGAGUAUGGUAGAGGGUGGUGGAAUUUCCUGUGUAGCGGUGAAAUGCGUAGAUAUAGGAAGGAACACCAGUGGCGAAGGCGACCACCUGGACUAAUACUGACACUGAGGUGCGAAAGCGUGGGGAGCAAACA
Molecule: ribosomal RNA, 427 nt
Filed under: uncultured bacterium
Lineage: Bacteria
Description: partial 16S ribosomal RNA
Rfam family: Bacterial small subunit ribosomal RNA
Source: RNAcentral